AAAAUUAGGUAAAGUAAAACAUUUUAGUAAUCUAAUAAAAAAUCAAACGAGAUAAUGUAAGUAGUGGCGAGCGAAAAUAUUAUAAGGUAUAAUUAAAUGUAAUAAAAUAUAAAUUUUUCCCCAAAGAAGGUUUAAGACCUGUAGUAUUUUAGAAUUUUAAUUUAAAAUUAACGGAUUAUGAUAAAUUUGUUAAUUAAGGAGAUCUUCCUCCGAGCCAAACAUUUUUAAUGACCGAUAGUGAACUAGUACCGUGAGGGAAAGGUGAAAAGAACCUUGAAUAAAGGAGUGAAAAAGAUCCUGAAACCAUACGCUUACAAGCGGUCGGAGCCCUUUGGGGUGACGGCGUGCCUUUUGCAUAAUGAGCCUACGAGUUACCGUUGCUAGCAAGGUUAAGGACUUCAGGUCCGCAGCCGUAGCGAAAGCGAGUCUGAAUAGGGCGCUUUAGUUAGUAGUGGUAGACGCGAAACCGUGUGAUCUACCCAUGGGCAGGGUGAAGCUGUGGUAACACACAGUGGAGGCCCGAACCGGUUGACGUUGAAAAGUCUUCGGAUGACCUGUGGGUAGGGGUGAAAGGCCAAUCAAACUCGGAAAUAGCUCGUACUCCCCGAAAUGCAUUUAGGUGCAGCGUUGAUUUAUAGUUUUAUAGAGGUAGAGCUACUGAUUGGAUGCGGGGGCUUCACCGCCUACCAAUUCCUGACAAACUCCGAAUGCUAUAAAAUGUUAAUCAGCAGUGAGGGCAUGGGUGCUAAGGUCCAUGUCCGAGAGGGAAAGAACCCAGACCAUCAGCUAAGGUCCCCAAAUAUAUGUUAAGUUGAAUAAACGAGGUUGAACUGCUUAGACAGCUAGGAUGUUGGCUUGGAAGCAGCCAUUCAUUUAAAGAGUGCGUAACAGCUCACUAGUCGAGCGGUUCGGCAUGGAUAAUAAUCGGGCAUAAACAUAUUACCGAAGCUAUGGACUUGUAAAAGUGGUAGGGGAGCAUUGUAGUGUCGUCGAAGGUUUGCUGUGAGGCAUUCUGGAGAAGCUACAAAAGAAAAUGUAGGCAUAAGUAACGAUAAUGCGGGCGAGAAACCCGCACACCGAAAGACUAAGGUUUCCUCAGCUAUGCUAAUCAGCUGAGGGUUAGUCGGGACCUAACGCGAACCCGAAAGGGGAAGUGGAUGGACAACAGGUUAAUAUUCCUGUACCUGCUCACACUAAAAGUGACGGAGGCGUGUAUUUGGUGCGUACUGACGGAAUAGUACGUUGAAGCGAGUAGUAAUACCGCGAUAGUACACUGAGGCUACGGCCAAGGUGAUAAUCCAGAGAAGCGACUUCCAAGAAAAGCGAGUGAAGCAGCCCGUACCCUAAACCGACACAGGUAGUUGGGAUGAGAAUUCUAAGGUGCUCGAGAGAUUCAUGGCUAAGGAACUAGGCAAAAUCGGCCCGUAACUUCGGGAGAAGGGUCGCCCACAGCAAUGUGGGCCGCAGUGAAAAGGUCCAGGCGACUGUUUAUCAAAAACACAGGGCUCUGCGAAGCCGCAAGGCGACGUAUAGGGUCUGACGCCUGCCCGGUGCCUGAAGGUUAAAAGGAGGGGUGAGAGCUCUGAAUUGAAGCCCAGGUAAACGGCGGCCGUAACUAUAACGGUCCUAAGGUAGCGAAAU
RNAcentral lists this ribosomal RNA (1641 nucleotides) under Mesodinium pulex. Its description in RNAcentral is "partial Bacterial large subunit ribosomal RNA". It matches the Rfam family "Bacterial large subunit ribosomal RNA", at positions 180 to 1965 of the family's 2925-position model. The record is from RNAcentral. Lineage: Eukaryota; Ciliophora; Litostomatea; Cyclotrichida; Mesodiniidae.